CUGAGAUUUGACCUCGUCUAAGUGGGUGGUGUGUGCAGUCUUUCUCAAAGCUAGUGAAUGUGGCCGUGCCUGCUUGAUAGAUCAUCGGGGUGGAGGCGAAGCUGCGCAGCUGAAUGUAUCGGAAGUGGUCAAAUGCCGUGAGAGUAUCAGCGUCUUUGAUUUCCGAGUAUUGAAUUACCUUAUUGUUCUGAUAUAGGUGGC
Pelobates cultripes (western spadefoot toad) is the source of this 201-nucleotide non-coding RNA. The record is from the annotation of a GenBank genome assembly. Lineage: Eukaryota; Metazoa; Chordata; Amphibia; Anura; Pelobatidae.